GCUUAAAAUCGUCAUCUUUCCUCCUGGUGACACAGUGGUCUUUGUUGGAACGUGCUUGGUUUAUCAGCUUCAGGAAGAUGUUAAGAAUAAGUAGUCACAGAUUCUCCAGAUUCUGUUUAGAUUUGGAUUGGCUAAUCGGAAAAAGACGAGCCAAAAAGUUAAAGUUGGGAGCCAAUGAGAUUGCUGGAAACCCAACACCGAGCCAAUGAGAGGAGAGAUAGGUUGUUCGGAG
Bolinopsis microptera is the source of this 232-nucleotide long non-coding RNA. RefSeq lists it as uncharacterized. The record is from RefSeq and is a predicted model, not a curated record. The transcript is spliced from 3 exons. Lineage: Eukaryota; Metazoa; Ctenophora; Tentaculata; Lobata; Bolinopsidae.